AGUGAACGCUGGCGGUAGGCCUAACACAUGCCAGUCGAACGGCAGCACAGUAAGAGCUUGCUCUUACGGGUGGCGAGUGGCGGACGGGUGAGGAAUACAUCGGGAUCUACUUUUUCGUGGGGGAUAACGUAGGAAAACUUACGCUAAUACCGCAUACGACCUACGGGUGAAAGCAGGGGAUCUUCGGACCUUGCGCGAUUGAAUGAGCCGAUGUCGGAUUAGCUAGUUGGCGGGGUAAAGGCCCACCAAGGCGACGAUCCGUAGCUGGUCUGAGAGGAUGAUCAGCCACACUGGAACUGAGACACGGUCCAGACUCCUACGGGAGGCAGCAGUGGGGAAUAUUGGACAAUGGGCGCAAGCCUGAUCCAGCCAUACCGCGUGGGUGAAGAAGGCCUUCGGGUUGUAAAGCCCUUUUGUUGGGAAAGAAAAGCAGCAGGUUAAUACCCCGCUGUUCUGACGGUACCCAAAGAAUAAGCACCGGCUAACUUCGUG
RNAcentral lists this ribosomal RNA (492 nucleotides) under uncultured bacterium. Its description in RNAcentral is "partial 16S ribosomal RNA". It matches the Rfam family "Bacterial small subunit ribosomal RNA", at positions 29 to 507 of the family's 1533-position model. The record is from RNAcentral.